AACGAACGCUGGCGGCAUGCCUAACACAUGCAAGUCGAGCGCCCGUAGCAAUACGGGAGCGGCGCACGGGUGAGUAACGCGUGGGAACCUGCCCAGAGGUUCGGGACAACCGCGGGAAACUGCGGCUGAUACCGGAUGAUACCUGAGGGUCAAAGAUUUAUCGCCUUUGGAGGGGCCCGCGUCGGAUUAGGUAGUUGGUGGGGUAACGGCCUACCAAGCCUAUGAUCCGUAACUGGUCUGAGAGGAUGACCAGUCACACUGGGACUGAGACACGGCCCAGACUCCUACGGGAGGCAGCAGUGGGGAGUAUUGGACAAUGGGGGGCAACCCUGAUCCAGCAAUGCCGCGUGGGUGAUGAAGGCCUUCGGGUUGUAAGCCUUCGGUGGGACGGAUGAUGACGGUACCCGCAGAAGAAGCCCCGGCUAACUUCGUGCCAGCAGCCGCGGUAAU
This 450-nucleotide ribosomal RNA is filed under the name uncultured bacterium. Its description in RNAcentral is "bacterial SSU rRNA". It matches the Rfam family "Bacterial small subunit ribosomal RNA", at positions 28 to 524 of the family's 1533-position model. The record is from RNAcentral.